This 242-nucleotide ribosomal RNA is filed under the name uncultured bacterium. Its description in RNAcentral is "partial 16S ribosomal RNA". It matches the Rfam family "Bacterial small subunit ribosomal RNA", at positions 535 to 776 of the family's 1533-position model. The record is from RNAcentral.
CAAGCGUUGUCCGGAUUUAUUGGGCGUAAAGAGCGUGUAGGCGGCCAGGUAAGUCUGCUGUGAAAACUCGAGGCUUAACCUCGAGCUGUCGGCGGAAACCAUCUGGCUAGAGUCCGGAAGAGGAGAAUGGAAUUCCCGGUGUAGCGGUGAAAUGCGCAGAUAUCGGGAAGAACACCCGUGGCGAAGGCGGUUCUCUGGGACGGUACUGACGCUGAGACGCGAAAGCGUGGGGAGCGAACAGG